This is a long non-coding RNA of Diceros bicornis minor, 2285 nucleotides long. RefSeq lists it as uncharacterized. The record is from RefSeq and is a predicted model, not a curated record. NCBI's taxonomy places the organism in Eukaryota, Metazoa, Chordata, Mammalia, Perissodactyla, Rhinocerotidae. The transcript is spliced from 3 exons.
UGCCACGUUGAGGGUGCCCUGUGGAGAGGCCACAUAACAAGGGACUGAGGACGGCCUCCAGCUGAAGGCCAGCGGGGAGCUGAGGCCCUCAAAGCAUUGAUUUCUACCCGGAGCCCACUUGUGGGCUUGGAAGCACAUCCUUCCCCGGCGGAGCCUUCGGGUGAGACCUCAGCCCUGGCAGACACCUGACGGCAGCCUGUGCCAGACCCCGAGCCGGAGGGCUCAGCUAAGCCAUGUCAGACUCAUGAACUUGAGUUGUUUUAAGCUGUGAAGUUUGGGGGUCAUUUGUUACGCAGUGAAGGAUAACUACUACACACACCUACCCCCUACUCUCUUCCAGCUGCAGAGUGAUUGUCGCACCCCUUCUCUGCUCACAGCCACCUAGUGUCUCCCCGUCCCACUCCACACAAACGCCAGAGCAGAACCCAACCAGCCCCGACUAACAGAAAACGACACCUAGAAACGGUACUGACCAGGAGAUGGACACCCUGACUACGUGGCUUCAGUAGUGGAGCCGGGCGGAAAGCUCCGGGUCACACAGUGUGAGAGACUUGGUAGGGCCAGACUGGAGUGACUCGGAAAUCAGAUCAUGAACCUAACGAAACUGCGGCUCUUGGGAAAGAGGCUAAAAAAUAGGAUGUGAGCGGGAUGUGGGAAUAGCUGUCGGCUGCAUUUGGCAAGAUUGUAAGAAAGAAUCAAACUCAGACGAGAAUCGCCCAGCCUGGAGCAGGAAUGAAAGCGAAAAGAGAGAUUCCAGAAUAUUCUGCUCCCACAGGGCUGGAAAAGAGGACUGAAUUUUCAGACCCCAAAUUAAGCUUGAUUAAAAUGCAGACUUGACAAGGGUCAGAUUAGAGGCACAGAGUCAAAAUCCCCCCUGGUUACAGGCCUCUCAGGUGCAGAUCAAAGCAGGUGUGGGAUUCCCACUUGGACGUGGUGGGGUGGGGAGAUGUGGCCAGUGGUGGACAGGGUGUUGGUGCAGGAGUCAUGGGUGUGGCUGUCAGCACCAGAGCGACCAGAGUCGGAAGCGAGCAGCCUGCUGAGUUCUGAGACAGUUGUGAUGACAAGACAGGUGGCUCAGACGGAGAGAUAAUGUGUAGGUUGACCCCUAACUGCCUGCGACCAGAGAACGGCUGAGAAAACUCCCGUCCCAAGGAGGCAUUUUCCCCAAUUCCCAUUUUGUAUUGUCCAAGAGGACAACAGGAAAGUCAGAAAGUUCUCCGAAGGCAGAGCCAGGGGCCUUGGAGGACAACGCACACUGGGCUGCGCCGGGCAGGAUCCGAAUCUGGGCAUCGGGAAGAAACACGCACCAUUGCGGGGUGGGGUGGGGCUCAGGAUGUCACCCAGAGGAUCCCGUCUUCUACAGGCCAGCAGCUGCUGCAUCUCCCCUCUUCCCGCAUCUACUGAGGUUGUCCUGUCUCUGUUCCGCUGCCCAUUGGACACGGAGCCUGUGGGAGGAAACGAUUUAUCUUCUUAGUUGGUGGGUCUUCAGAGGCAGAGGUGCCCCAUGUGGACCUGGUACAGACCCCCUGGGUGUCACUCAGAGGUCCUGGCUUUAUGGGGCUGGAAUUUGGGGUCCUCUUGCUUGCGGAGACAAGAGGGAGAGCGAGCAGAAUUAACGGGUCUGGAGGGCAGACCACAGAGGUCGUUGGAGCUGCUCACAGAUCGCUCGCCUCCCUUCCAGACCUGUGGGAGGCCUAUGCUUCCUGCUCCUUGAAAUCAGGCUGCCUGUGACCUGCUUUGGCAAAGAAACUUGAGCCUAUAAAGUCUCCCGUCAUGCCUCCCUUUGGCCAAAUCCAACCAACCCAGAAGGCAAGGGAUCCCUUUGCUGUGUAGCACAGAGAUCCCAGAUUCUUUUCAGGUCUGCAAUGUACCUGGCUGAAAGACCACAUUUCCCAGCUUUCCUCAGAGAUGGCGGUGGCCCACGUAGAAGUCCUUGAGCCAUUGAGUGUGACUUCCAAAGACGUUCUUUAAAGGUAGCUGACUCAACUAGGAGAGAUGUCCUCUUGUCCUUCCCUCUUCCUCUUUCUUCCUGCCUGGAAUACAGACAUGAUGGCUAGAGCUCUGGCAGCCAUCUUGGAUCACAGGCAAACUUGAGGAUGGAAGCCACAUGCUAAGGUUGAGGGAACAGAAAGAGCAGGAACCCGGGACACAAGACGUCUCGAGCUGCUGUGCGGACCUCAGAUGGCCUACCUCCAGACCUCUUUCACUUAGGCGAAAGAUAAACCCUCACUUGUUUAAGCCACUUGUUUGGAUUUUCUGUGAUAAACAUCUCGAGUUAAUCCUGA